This 125-nucleotide small RNA is filed under the name Marmota monax (woodchuck). Lineage: Eukaryota; Metazoa; Chordata; Mammalia; Rodentia; Sciuridae. The record is from RNAcentral.
GCUGGGCACGGUGGUGCAUGCCUGUAAUCCCAGCAGCUCAGGAGGUUGAGACAGGAGGAUCGCAGGUUCAAAGCCAGCCUCAGCAAGAGUGAGGCACUAAGCAACUCAGCAAGACCCUGUCUCUA